This 188-nucleotide ribosomal RNA is filed under the name uncultured Streptococcaceae bacterium. Its description in RNAcentral is "partial 16S ribosomal RNA". It matches the Rfam family "Bacterial small subunit ribosomal RNA", at positions 152 to 334 of the family's 1533-position model. The record is from RNAcentral. Lineage: Bacteria; Bacillati; Bacillota; Bacilli; Lactobacillales; Streptococcaceae.
GGAAACGAUAGCUAAUACCGCAUAAGAGUAGAUGUUGCAUGACAUUUACUUAAAAGGUGCAAUUGCAUCACUACCAGAUGGACCUGCGUUGUAUUAGCUAGUUGGUGGGGUAACGGGCUCACCAAGGCGACGAUACAUAGCCGACCUGAGAGGGUGAUCGGCCACACUGGGACUGAGACACGGCCCAG